This is a non-coding RNA of Nomia melanderi (Alkali bee), 452 nucleotides long. Lineage: Eukaryota; Metazoa; Arthropoda; Insecta; Hymenoptera; Halictidae. The record is from RefSeq and is a predicted model, not a curated record.
UUCGAAAGGGAAAUCCUCCUCCGAGGGAUGUUUAGAAUAUCAGCGCUCCUCGAACUUCUUCGAGCUCGGGCCCCGAGGAGGAAGACACGGGGAUGGUCCACGGGGCUACGAAGGACACAUUUCCGGACACUUCGAAAGUGAUACUCGAAAUCGAUGGACCGUAUUUGCUCGAGGGAUCCCGAAGACCGGGUCUACCCGCAGGACAAGGGUGUCUAUUCUUCGCAUCGCGUGUUCUCCGGCUUCGACAAGGAAUCGAAGAGCCGGUGCGCGCCGAACUGGAAGCUUCUUCGGUGGCCGGAAACGAUCGGAGACAAAGGUGCUCGGAAUUAACGUUUUAUUCGCACGAAGGUAAUUGGCUCUCUGUGUUUCCUAUAUUAUUAACGGGGGCGUCACGUUGUUUCUGUAAUAGACGAAUCAGUAGAAGCUUACUAGGUUAAUUAGAGGAGACCUUU